CAGCAUUUUCUCUUUAUAACAGGAGUUUGAGGAACUAGUAACAUUUUGACGUGUCCUAUAAGGUUCUCAUCAGAUGUAUGAAAUUUCAGGCUAUAAAGAUCAUUACAGACAAAUUUUACAGAAUUAUUACAAUUUAGGGACGCCUGGAUGGCUCAGCAGUUAAGCUCUGCUUUUGGCUCAGGGCGGGAUCCUGGAGUUCAGGGGUCCAGUCCCACAUUGGGUUCCCUGAGGGGAGCCUGCUUCUCUCUCUGCCUAUGUCUCUGCCUCUCUCUAUGUCUCUCAUGAAUAAAUAAAAUCUUAAAAAAAAGAAUUACAGUUUAUGCUUCACAGGCACACAUACACACACAGUUCUUAGUUUAACACAAUGAAAUUUACUUGACACUUUCUAAUAGUACAUUGUAUAUAUUCCUGGUCAGCUUGUGGUCUUCCUUGUGAUGAUUCAGUGACUCGAAAUGUUUCUAUCUUGUGACGCUCCAUCCACUCUAAGACCUAAAGACUCCUCUACCUAUGGCUGGCCGAUGAAGAAAAAGAACAAGAGGCAUACUGUCCCUGUCUACAGAGCAAAUUCAGCUUUUCCCUGGAGUAAAGGAAAAAACCUGCUCUCAAGAAAGGAUCCUAAGUAUCUUAGUUCCUGAAUGUGGAA
Molecule: long non-coding RNA, 643 nt
Filed under: Vulpes vulpes (red fox)
Lineage: Eukaryota; Metazoa; Chordata; Mammalia; Carnivora; Canidae
Description: lncRNA (ENSVVUG00000014140.1)
Source: RNAcentral